This 430-nucleotide long non-coding RNA is filed under the name Nicotiana benthamiana. Its description in RNAcentral is "long non-coding RNA (NBEN_LNC038610)". Lineage: Eukaryota; Viridiplantae; Streptophyta; Magnoliopsida; Solanales; Solanaceae. The record is from RNAcentral.
AUUGUUGGUCUAAGUUUUGGAUCUACAUUGAGGCACCGUAAGGCGAGUGCUGCUGCAGCUUGUGCACCUUUCUUCGAGUACUGCCCUCCGAACCUUGUAUCCAUGAUUCUCAGUACUCGUCUGCUGUCGCUUAGGAAAGGUAUCGCCCACUCUACCAAUGUUUCCUCAGCACCUCCUGGGUUUUCCUCACUUAGGAAAGGUAUCGCCCAUUCUACCAAUGUUUCCUCAGCGCCUCCCGGGUUCUCCUUGCCUGUUGCUCGUUUUCCUGAUAGCAGCUCCAACAGAACAACACCGAAACUAUAUACAUCGUUCUUUGGAGUCAAAUGACCUGUUACAAGUAAUUGAGAGUUGACUUGAGAUAAGAUAUACAAGAUACCAACCAUGGUAUCACAGUUAUCAGAAGGCGAAUAGCUUAAUGGCGCUGGAUUAC